AACCAGCACCUCAAGUGGUCAGGAUGAUUAUUGGGCCUAAAGCAUCCGUAGCCUGUUCUGUAAGUUUUCGGUUAAAUCUAUGCGCUCAACGUAUAGGCUGCCGAAAAUACUGCAGAGCUAGGGAGUGGGAGAGGUAGACGGUACUCGGUAGGAAGGGGUAAAAUCCUUUGAUCUAUUGAUGACCACCUGUGGCGAAGGCGGUCUACCAGAACACGUCCGACGGUGAGGGAUGAAAGCUGGGGGAGCAAACCGG
Molecule: ribosomal RNA, 253 nt
Filed under: uncultured archaeon
Lineage: Archaea
Description: partial 16S ribosomal RNA
Rfam family: Archaeal small subunit ribosomal RNA
Source: RNAcentral